UAGGGAAUCUUCCGCAAUGGACGCAAGUCUGACGGAGCAACGCCGCGUGAGUGAAGAAGGAUUUCGGUUCGUAAAACUCUGUUGUUAGAGAAGAACAGCGCAUAGAGUAACUGUUAUGCGUGUGACGGUAUCUAACCAGAAAGCCACGGCUAACUACGUGCCAGCAGCCGCGGUAAUACGUAGGUGGCAAGCGUUGUCCGGAUUUAUUGGGCGUAAAGCGAGCGCAGGCGGUCAAUUAAGUCUGAUGUGAAAGCCCCCGGCUCAACCGGGGAGGGUCAUUGGAGACUGGUUGAGUUGAGUGCAGAAGAGGAGAGUGGAAUUCCAUGUGUAGCGGUGAAAUGCGUAGAUAUAUGGAGGAACCCCAGUGGCGAAGGCGACUCUUUGGUCUGUAACUGACGCUGAGGCUCGAAAGCGUGGGUAGCAAACAGG
Molecule: ribosomal RNA, 429 nt
Filed under: Bacteroidota bacterium
Lineage: Bacteria; Pseudomonadati; Bacteroidota
Description: Bacteroidetes bacterium partial 16S ribosomal RNA
Rfam family: Bacterial small subunit ribosomal RNA
Source: RNAcentral